Molecule: transfer RNA, 73 nt
Filed under: Thermoplasmatales archaeon
Lineage: Archaea; Methanobacteriati; Thermoplasmatota; Thermoplasmata; Thermoplasmatales
Description: tRNA-Phe
Rfam family: tRNA
About the family: Transfer RNA (tRNA) molecules are approximately 80 nucleotides in length.
Source: RNAcentral
GCCGUGAUAGCUCAGUUGGGAGAGCGUAUGACUGAAGAUCAUAAGGUCGCUGGUUCGAUCCCGGCUCACGGCA